Molecule: ribosomal RNA, 253 nt
Filed under: uncultured bacterium
Lineage: Bacteria
Description: partial 16S ribosomal RNA
Rfam family: Bacterial small subunit ribosomal RNA
Source: RNAcentral
UACGUAGGUGGCAAGCGUUGUCCGGAUUUAUUGGGUUUAAAGGGUGCGUAGGCGGUUCCAUAAGUCAGUGGUGAAAUACGGCAGCUCAACUGUCGAGGUGCCAUUGAUACUGCGGAACUUGAGUACUGAUGAGGUAGGCGGAAUUGACGGUGUAGCGGUGAAAUGCUUAGAUAUCGUCAAGAACACCGAUAGCGAAGGCAGCUUACCAAGGAGUAACUGACGCUGAGGCACGAAAGUGCGGGGAUCAAACAGG